Molecule: long non-coding RNA, 3156 nt
Organism: Oncorhynchus masou masou (cherry salmon)
Lineage: Eukaryota; Metazoa; Chordata; Actinopteri; Salmoniformes; Salmonidae
Exons: 3
Source: RefSeq, a predicted model, not a curated record
UGGAUGGUGAGGAAAUGUGCGUCCUGUAAAACGAGUUCAGCUCUUCCCUGCCGUUAUUUGAGCUCAAUCACUCAUACAGUUUAGGUAUGGCUCACAACUGCGUGGGGAACUGUGCGCCGUUAUUUUUACUAGCCAUCGCUUUUGACGUCUGCGGUUUGAUAGUUAUUUUAGUUGGUAUUUUCGCCGAUCUAAAGUUGGACGGUCACUUCUACGGUGAUUUCCUAAUCUACACGGGUGCACUCAUCAUUUUCCUCAGUCUGGCUUGGUGGAUUUUGUGGUACACGGGCAACAUAAAGGUUUACUCCGAGGACUUUGAUAAAAGCACCCUGGACAAUUUUGCGCACUGGGCAAGAACGUUUUCGGAAAGGCUCUCGAAGAGCAAGAUUAAAACUCUGGAAGCUGGGGAGAAGUGCAAGUGGAAUGGAAAGGAAUCAGUGAACGGAACGGUUCCUGAUCAAACUCUAUCACGAAUUACGUGUGAACACGGCAGCAGCCUGACGGGACACGACAAUCUAGGAUAUGACCGAAGUUUUGACCACCAGCCUCCAGAGAAAACGGUGGAGUUGGGGAUUCUGAAUAAUUCUGAGGUGUUGCAGAGCAUUAUGGAUGGAAAAGUGGUUAGGCUUCUCUGACAUACAGUUGGUGAUCUCUGGUUUUCCUCUGUUGCAGGUGAUCUCUGGUUCUCCGGUUGUGAAGAAAGUAUGCCUCGUUCCUCCCCAAGAGCUGCUUUUUAAAUCCAUACAAGACUGUAAACCUUUUCGCCUAUAUGAACUAAAGACACUUUAAAUAUAGAAGACUACUUUCAUUCAGGGAGAGGCCCCGCGCUGAAGCAAUCACCGGGCCCUGCACAAAGGAUAGAAAUCCUGAACUUCUGGUACGUGGGCAACCUGAAGGUGGACGACUUCCUGCCCAAGUGACCCUCUACUUCUGGGGCUUAGAGAGAUACGGAGGUAGAGGUGAGGACUGGUGAUGUGGGUCUAGGAUGGGCAUGGAGUGAAAAUGUAGUAAUUACAACAUAAUGUUUUGAAGACAGAGGAUCCACCCUGGACAUCAAUUGUGUCUUUCUAUAAUCUAGGGUACCAGUGAGGAUUUCCUACACUGGAGGACUUGUUCCAGCUGUUGAUAAAGCCAGGUGUACACUACACUACUUUUGCCUCUUGCAUUAAACAACAGUCUUACCUGUAAUUUUUUAAUGCUUGGAGCAAAUCCAACACAACAUAUCACUGAGCAACUGCCUCCUUAUUUUCAAGCAAAGUAGUUGUUGCAUCAUAGUAUGAGUAUGCUUGACAUCGGCAAAUACUGGGCGCUUUACACCAAAGAAAUGGGGUGGAGCUUUACACUAGACACUGGGAGAUGAAUUCACCUUUCAGCAGGACAAUAACCUACAACACAAGGCCAAAUCUACACUGGAGUUGCUUACCAAGAUGACAGUCAGUGUUCCUGAGUGGCCAAGUUACAGUGUUGACUUAAAUCUGCUUGAAAAUCUAUGGCAAGACUUCAACAUUGCUGUCUAGUCAUGAUCCCCAACAACUUGACAUAGCUUGAAGAAUUAUGAAAAUAAUAUUGGCUAAUAUUGCACAAUCCAGGUGUGUAAAGCUCUUUGAGACUUACCCAGGAAGACUCCCAGCUGUAAUGACUCUUAGGCCUCCCAAGAAAACUCCCAGCUGUAAUCGCUGACAAAGUUUAUUCUAACAUGUAUUGACUCAGUGGGCUGAGAACUUAUGCAAUAACUAUAUUUUAGUUAUAAAAUGUGUGAUUUUUUUUUUUAAAGUGUUGAUUUUUCUUCCACUUUGAAAGUACCAAGUAUUUUGUGUGGAUUGUUGACAAACAAAAAUGUACAUUUAAAUCCAUUUUAAGCCCACUUUGUAACAAACGCAGGGUAGCCUAGUGGUUAGGGCGUUGGUCUAGUAACUGGAAUGUUGCAAGUUCCAAUCCCCAAGCUGACAAGGUACAAAUCUGUCGUUCUGCCCCUGAACAGGCAGUUCACCUGCUGUUCCUAGGCUGUCAUUGAAAAUAAGAAUUUGUUCUUAACUGACUUGCCUAGUUAAAUAAAGGUUAAAAAAAACACUUGAAAACCACUGCAUAUCUCGAUAGGCCUUCAUGGUUUAAAUUAAGGCUAAAAUGUUCUGAAACACCUUGAAGUGUAUAAACAUUUGUUUUGGUAAAUACUUCCAUAUUUAGCUGUAUUCUAUUCUCUUUCAGAUUCCUUCUUUGCUGGAACUACAUCACUGCAUGAUGAUCAUUGAGUGAUGUUUACACCUCAACAAGACUGAAGACUUGCAUCUAAACAUGUGACUGUCGCGUGUUCUGGGACCCUGGCUUUUUAUAACGUCGAUACUGUUUUGUUUUUGAGGCUGUGAAUUUUUGGGGGGUGUUUAUCACAUUUAUGAUGUUUUUUUUAAGGUUGAUUACAAUUUGAAUAUUACAACACUUUUAAAAAGAUUGUGCUGAUUUGAAUUGUACAAAUCUCAUUUGACUUUUUUAGAGUUAACAAAAAAAAGCACUGUUACUUUACAUUGAAAUAAGUUGUUUUCCCCCACUGGUGAUUUUCCUAUUGUGAAAUCCGAGUGUUCAGUUGCUUUCACCAGACAAUAGAAACCAGUUAAACUGGGUAUGUCACCUACACUGGGGCAGGGAAUGCUCUCACUUUACAACAAUGGGGUCAUGGAAGAAGGAGGAACUGUUUCCAAUUACCUUUUAUUAGGCAACUAAGGAAUAUCCCACCAAGUCCCAAUGACAAGGACAUUUUUCUGUCUUGUUCUGAUCAAAUAUUUACAUGAUUUCCUGGACGGAUUUGAUUUUGAUUCCCAUGUACCUAGAGUAAACCUUGCGUGUGCAUUAGUAUGUGACAUAACUGGUUCAGUGUGGCAAACCCUGGCACACCCAUGUACUGUGUUGACAUUUAAACUCUCUGCUGGGUGAUAAUCUCUCUCUGUACACGAGCAAUGAAGGCUGGAGAAGUAACCCUGGUCAACAACUCAGAGUAAUUGUUUAAGACAACAGGGUAAAGAAUGUAGUCGUUUUUAUUGAAGUUUCCAGCAGCUAUUUGAUAUGACUGAUAAUGAGCAGAGAAUUUUAUUCACCCAAAACUUACGCAUUGGGAUUGUCUUCAGAGACAAAUUGUCAGUUGUGUAAAAGUACUUAAGUAAAAAUACU